This 333-nucleotide ribosomal RNA is filed under the name uncultured Bacillota bacterium. Its description in RNAcentral is "bacterial SSU rRNA". It matches the Rfam family "Bacterial small subunit ribosomal RNA", at positions 28 to 351 of the family's 1533-position model. The record is from RNAcentral. Lineage: Bacteria; Bacillati; Bacillota.
GACGAACGCUGGCGGCGUGCCUAAUACAUGCAAGUCGAGCGGACAGAAGGGAGCUUGCUCCCGGAUGUUAGCGGCGGACGGGUGAGUAACACGUGGGUAACCUGCCUGUAAGACUGGGAUAACUCCGGGAAACCGGAGCUAAUACCGGAUAGUUCCUUGAACCGCAUGGUUCAAGGAUGAAAGACGGUUUCGGCUGUCACUUACAGAUGGACCCGCGGCGCAUUAGCUAGUUGGUGAGGUAACGGCUCACCAAGGCGACGAUGCGUAGCCGACCUGAGAGGGUGAUCGGCCACACUGGGACUGAGACACGGCCCAGACUCCUACGGGUGGCAG